AAAUUACUCAGUCCACCACAUUUUUAUUAGCGAGUUUAUAAAGAAAACAACGAAUAUUUGUUAACUUGCUAAAGCUGGAAAAUAACGAAAAGAGAGUCCUCUCAUGUUAAGAACCAUCCGCGACUCGGGAGGAUAUGGGACUUAAAUAAUUCAUUUAACCCAAAACGUACUUAUUCUAACCACUAAAAAUAAUAAAAUAAUACAAAUAAAAAUGAGAAAAAUGUUAAUUAUUUAAUUUUUUUAUAUUUUAUUCAUAGCUCAGACAAAAAUCAUUAUUGGCUCUCGUCUGGGGGGGCAAUGCCCCCUAGCCCCCUAAACUCCGCCUAUGUAAAAGCAGUGUAUGAAUUAACGAACCAAGAAAGAAUAAUGUGAGUCAAAGUUUUAUAUGUAGUAAGAAGAGAGAAAAUGAAUUAGAGGUUACAGAAAAUGCUUUAAUGUAUGACUUUUAAUGCUCAUGAUUUGACCUUCCAUUUUCAGAGUGAUAGAUGAAUCACAAGUAAUUACUGCAUUGAUUUUUACCAUCUGUACGGUGUACAUUUUAAGACAUCCUCAGACCUCAGUCAUUAAAUGAAAAGGCGUCAUGCCUCAGACUAAAAGGCUUCAGUCAUUGGACAAAACGGCAUCACGCCUCAGACUGAAAAGCUUAAGGUCUCAGGAAAAACAACGUCAGGUGUCAGGUCUCAUACAAUUAGGCAUCAGACGAAACGGACUCAGACAAAAAGGCAUCAGACGAAACGGACUGAGACAAAAAGGCAUCAGACGAAACGGACUCAGACAAAAAGGCAUCAGACGAAACGGACUCAGACAAAAAAAGGCAUCAGACGAAACGGACUCAGACAAAAAAAGGCAUCAGACGAAACGGACUCAGACAAAAAGGCAUCAGACGAAACGGACUCAGGAAAAAAAAGGCAUCAGACGAAACGGACUCAGGACAAAAAGGCAUCAGACGAAACGGACUCAGACAAAAAGGCAUCAGACGAAACGGACUCAGGAAAAAAAGGCAUCAGACGAAACGGACUCAGGUGGAGUAUCGCGUUGCCCCGCCCCAGGUGACGUCACACGCACGCGGUUCAGAGGAAGUGGUAUAUAA
Long non-coding RNA from Cyprinus carpio carpio, 1090 nucleotides. The record is from Ensembl. NCBI's taxonomy places the organism in Eukaryota, Metazoa, Chordata, Actinopteri, Cypriniformes, Cyprinidae.